This 465-nucleotide ribosomal RNA is filed under the name uncultured bacterium. Its description in RNAcentral is "partial 16S ribosomal RNA". It matches the Rfam family "Bacterial small subunit ribosomal RNA", at positions 28 to 507 of the family's 1533-position model. The record is from RNAcentral.
GACGAACGCUGGCGGCGUGCUUAACACAUGCAAGUCGAACGGAAAGGCCCCUUUGGGGGUACUCGAGUGGCGAACGGGUGAGUAACACGUGAGUAACCUGCCCUUGACUUCGGGAUAACUUCAGGAAACUGGGGCUAAUACCGGAUAGGAAUCCUUGCUGCCUGGUGGGGGUUGGAAAGCUUCGGGGGUUUUGGAUGGACUCGCGGCUUAUCAGCUUGUUGGUGGGGUAGUGGCUUACCAAGGCUUUGACGGGUAGCCGGCCUGGGAGGGCGACCGGCCACAUUGGGGCUGGGAUACGGCCCCGACUCCUACGGGAGGCAGCAGGGGGGAAUAUUGCACAAUGGGCGGAAGCCUGAAGCAGCAACGCCGCGUGCGGGAUGACGGCCUUCGGGUUGUAAACCGCUUUCAGCAGGGGCGAAGCUUGUGGUGACGGUACCUGCAGAAGAAGCACCGGCUAACUACGUG